RNAcentral lists this ribosomal RNA (253 nucleotides) under uncultured bacterium. RNAcentral's name for it is "partial 16S ribosomal RNA". It matches the Rfam family "Bacterial small subunit ribosomal RNA", at positions 524 to 776 of the family's 1533-position model. The record is from RNAcentral.
UACGUAGGGGGCAAGCGUUAUCCGGAUUUACUGGGUGUAAAGGGAGCGUAGACGGCAGUGCAAGUCUGGAGUGAAAGGCGGGGGCUCAACCCCCGGACUGCUCUGGAAACUGUACGGCUGGAGUGCAGGAGAGGUAAGUGGAAUUCCUAGUGUAGCGGUGAAAUGCGUAGAUAUUAGGAGGAACACCAAUGGCGAAGGCGGCUUACUGGACUGUAACUGACGUUGAGGCUCGAAAGCGUGGGGAGCAAACAGG